RNAcentral lists this ribosomal RNA (623 nucleotides) under uncultured bacterium. RNAcentral describes it as "bacterial SSU rRNA". It matches the Rfam family "Bacterial small subunit ribosomal RNA", at positions 55 to 667 of the family's 1533-position model. The record is from RNAcentral.
AUGCAAGUCGAGCGGAUGACGGGAGCUUGCUCCCUGAUUUAGCGGCGGACGGGUGAGUAAUGCCUAGGAAUCUGCCUGGUAGUGGGGGAUAACGUUCCGAAAGGAACGCUAAUACCGCAUACGUCCUACGGGGGAAAGCAGGGGACCUUCGGGCCUUGCGCUAUCAGAUGAGCCUAGGUCGGAUUAGCUAGUCGGUGAGGUAAUGGCUCACCAAGGCGACGAUCCGUAACUGGUCUGAGAGGAUGAUCAGUCACACUGGAACUGAGACACGGUCCAGACUCCUACGGGAGGCAGCAGUGGGGAAUAUUGGACAAUGGCGAAAGCCUGAUCCAGCCAUGCCGCGUGUGUGAAGAAGGUCUUCGGAUUGUAAAGCACUUUAAGUUGGGAGGAAGGGCCAGCAAGCUAAUACCUUGCUGUUUUGACGUUACCGACAGAAUAAGCACCGGGCUAAACUUUCGUGCCAGCAGCCGCGGUAAUAACGAAGGGUGCAAGCGUUAAUCGGAAUUACUGGGCGUAAAGCGCGGCGUAGGUGGUUCGUUAAGUUGGAUGUGAAAGCCCCGGGCUCAACCUGGGAACUGCAUCCAAAAACUGGCGAGCUAGAGUACGGUAGAGGGUGGUGGAAU